This is an RNA transcript of Anopheles gambiae (African malaria mosquito), 5630 nucleotides long. It is a transcript of the gene named cell division cycle and apoptosis regulator protein 1, with no coding region annotated. The transcript has 11 exons. NCBI's taxonomy places the organism in Eukaryota, Metazoa, Arthropoda, Insecta, Diptera, Culicidae. The record is from RefSeq and is a predicted model, not a curated record.
UCAUCCCGAACGCCGUCUAAAAGUACGCGUUCCGGGCAGAAACGCAUCCAGGCCUUGCAAGCGCAACCGCACACCCGAUCCCUCCCAUCCCCCGGUUAGCAAACAUUCCCGAAACCGAGCGCUUGUGCAACACACAGAGGCGACCAGCAAAGUCCGAAACCGAUUUGUUUGGUGGUGGUGGUGGUGUGCGGUUAGUGUGUUAGUUGUGUGCGAAGGAAGUGUCUGAGCGGUGUAUGUCGGCACAGCUACAAUAAACCUCUUUUUACGGCGAAACACGGCCCUUGUACGAUUCAUGCGAGCAGUCGAGCGACAUAACGCGUCCGAGCAGUAAAACUUCGCUUGCUUGCAUUCUUUUUUGCGCGGCGCUGCUAGGCUCUAGGUUAGGAAGUGCGAAAUUAUUGGAAAAAGCAAAAGAGGAGACGCCGCGAAGAAGGAAAAAACACUCGCCGUGCAGGGAGAGCCGCUGGACCGUUUGCAGGGUUGCUGUCUUUCUUUCUGCCCUAGCGCGCGCCUCCUCCUCCCUCCCCCCCGAGCGGUGGAGCGGCUGCACUGACAAUGGCGUUCAAUCAGAAGAAUCCGCCAUGGCAGCGGAACACUGGGCAUCAGGCGAUGGCCAGCAUGCAGACGAUUGUUAGCUUCCCGCAGGCGCAGCCCGUUUACAAUCCCGGCCUCGCCGGACUGCAGCAGCAGCAGCAGCAGCAGGUACAGCAGCAGGCGCAGCAGCAGGUACAGCAGCAGGUACAGCAGCAGCAGCAGCAAAGCAUUUCGAUGCUGCCCCAGAUAGGGCUGCAGCAGCCGGCCCUCUACUCACCCACGGUGCAGUAUCCGGCCUCCCGGCCGAUGAACGCGAUCGGCUUCCAGGGCCAGCCGCAGCAGGCGCCCCCGACGCCCCAGCAGCAGCAGCAACAGCAGCAGCAGCAGGUACAGCAGGUCAGCCAGGGCUCGGGCAAGUUCAACCCGAACCAGCGCGCGUUCAGCGGGACCGGGCUGGUGACGAAGCUGCAGAACGACUACGGCAUCAUCGACGAUCAGGUGUUCUUCCACACCAACACCUGCGUGAAGGGCAUCCUGCCGAAGCUGGGCGACCGGGUGCUGGUCGACGCGGCCUACAACACCAACAUGCCGUUCAAGUGGAACGCCUCGCGCGUACAGGUCCUGCAGACCGGAGGCGGCGGCGGCGGCGGCGGCGGUGGUGGCGGUGGGGGUCACAACUCCCCGUCCGUACCGCACAGCAACUCGUCGGGCGGGCGCACGCACACCAGUGCGUAUGGUGGAGGCGGUGGUGGAGGUGGUGGUGGCGGUGGAGGCGGUUCGCAGAACAAUUCGUCCGAUUCGCGCUCGAACGUGCGCAAUCGGUACAAUGCGCCGUCGUCGCGCAAGUCACCGGACCGGAGCAUGCACCGGUCGUCCAAUUCGCGCACCAAGGAUGAGUACGAUGACGUUGAGCGCAGGCGGAAGCAGCAGCGGGACGAUCGCGACUCGGACCGCAGCUCGUACCGGGACAAGCAGCGGGCCCGUUCGCCGGAACGGCCGCGCGAGAGGGAGCGCAGCCCGGUGAAGAAACACUCGCCCAAACGGGCCCGGCUGCGCUCGGUGCCGCCGUACAUGGUGCAGGUUCCGAAGCAGCUGCUGCCGAUCAAAAGCGUCAGCAUACUGGAGCUGCGCGCCCGCUACCCGAAGCUGUACAUCCCGUCGGACUUCAUACUGGCGGAGGUCGGGUGGCCGAAAUCGUUCCCGCCCAGCUCGCCGCUCCCGCUGCAGACCGGCUGCCACUUUCACGUGUUCAACAAGGAGGUGGAGCGGCCGCUGCCGCUCGAGAAGACCGUCCUCGAUCCGGCCGACGCCGACUACCUGUACACGGUGAAGGUGAUGCUGAUGAGCACGCCGGACAUGCUCGAGAUCUAUCGCAACUGCUUCUACCGCAACGAGAAGGAGCGGCGGGACGACGGCCGCAGCUAUCUGCAUCCGACGCGCAUGAUCAACUUCCUGGUCGGGACGCGCGGCAAGAACGAGCUGAUGGCGGUCGGUGGCCCCUGGUCACCGUCGCUCGACGGGGCCCACCCGGACACCGACCCGAAGGUGCUGAUGCGGACCGCCAUCCGCACGUGCAAGGCGCUCACCGGGAUCGACCUUUCCGCCUGCUCCCUCUGGUACCGUUUCGUGGAUAUCUAUUACCGUCGCACUGAAUCCUACCAUAAGGGUCGUUUGAUUCCGCCACGCGUUGAAACGGUGGUCGUAUUUCUGCCCCGUAUGAGCGCCUGCAUACCGACGGAAGGCCAGUGGGAAAAGACACAGCAGACUUACCAGCUUCAGUUGGAGCGCAUUCUUAGCAGUAGCAACUCUAGCGGCGACGACGCCAACGGGGGCGGCGCCAGUCUGCAGGAGGUUCUUCCGGCGGUGGAAGACGCGGCACCGAAUUCUAGCGGCACGGGUGACGACACGGCAGCAGCAGCAGCAGCAGCAACACCAGCAGCAGCAGCAGCAGCAGCAGCAGCAGGUGUCAACUCAUCUGCAGCACCAUCAGAUCAGCAGCAGCAGGGCCAACAGUCGGCCGACGGUGAUACGGCGGUCGUUUCUGCGGCGGAGUCGGCGUCGUCCGAUGGAGUCGCCGCAACAGAGGCAGCGACAGCAGCAGCAGCAGCAGCAGGUGGUGACGGAGGCGACGAUUCUGCCGCAGCAGCAGUAUCGGCGAAGGAGAGCGGCGAUGGCGGCGAUGGCGGCAGCACCAACAGUAGCGGCACAAUAAUGCAGCAGGCCGCCAUGACCGAACCGGACACCGAGACGCUGCUGAUGGAAUACAAAAAAAUGAAGGUGGCCGAACUGAAGACGGAACUCAUCAACCGCAACCUGCCGACCGAUGGCAUUAAGGCGGUCCUGCUAGCCCGCCUGUCCGAGGCGAUCAUCGGCGAGAAGCAAGCGCAGCUCGCACAGCAGGCACAGCAAGUGGAGGUGAAAAUGGAGGUUGCCGAAACCGAACCAGCCGUGGCCACCGGUACCGAGGAGGCGCUAAAAACGGAACCAGCAGAAGCAGCAGCAGCAGAGGACAGCAAGCCACAGACAGAUGUGGAGAUGGCCGAUGUGGCCGACGCUCCCAAGAAGGAGUCGGAUGGCAAGCCGCUGAACGAAACGCCGGACGAAACGAAACCAGCCCCCGGUGAAGGUGGGAUUGAAGGUGGUGACCAGGAGCCGGCGGCGGCUAAACCGGAGCCAACGGCCGCCGUGCCGCCGCGCAAAAAGGAACCCCAGCCAGUGAAGCUGACCGAGAAGGAGCGGCAAAACCUCGAGCGCUGGUACACGAUGCCGAAGGAGCCGCACGUGCUGGUGCACCCGUCGCGCACCGCCAAGUCGGGCAAGUUCGAGUGCAGUGUGGUGUCGCUGUCGGUGCUGCUCGACUACCGGCCGGAGGACACGAAGGAGCACUCGUUCGAGGUGGCCCUCUUCGCUGAGCUGUUCAACGACAUGUUGGCGCGCGAUUUCGGCUUCAAAAUCUACGGCGAGCUGGCCCGGCUGGCCCGAAAGGCGAACGAGACGGCGGCGGCUGCGGCGGAGACGGCGAAAAAGGACGGUACCGCUGCUGCUGCAGGGGCAGCAGAUGGCAAGUCGGGCCGCUCUGAGCAGGGCGGCGAGACGAGCAAUGGCGAGGACAGCAAGGCGAGCACGGAGAAGGGCAAGGACGAGAAGGAGCAGAACGAUCGGAAGCGGCGCCGGCGCAGCGUGGAGGACAACCAUCGCUCGAAGCCAGAGCCGGAACCGGCCCGCUUCCAUACGGUGCUGCCGGAGCUGCUGCUCGCGUUCGCGUACUUCGACAUCACGCAGUGCGGGUACAUCUUCGAGAAGGAUCUGCUGGAGCUGAUCUACAGCCUCGGGCUGAACCUGUCCCGAUCGCAGAUACGCAAAACGGUCGGGGACGUGGCCGCUGCCCGCCACACGCUCUACUACCGCCAGCUGACCGACAAGGCGCUGGAUGUGGCCGCCGCGGACAGCAAAGCACCCAAGAAGGGCGACGGGGGCGAGGUACCACCGUCGGUCGAUCUGUCCGCCGAUUCGCUAACGGGCGGCGAGACGGCAGCGGCCGAGCUGACCGAGCAGCAGGCGCUGGAGCUGGCCCGCGGCAACACCGACUACAUGGGGCAGCUGCACGCGAGCGUGCUGCAGAUCGCGAACGGUGGCAGCGAGCAGCAGCAGCAGGACGAGCCGGCCGCCAAGAAGGUGAAGAUGGAAACGGCGGCGAACGAGCUGCCCACAACCGCAGACGGUUUGGUAGAGUACAAAGGCACAAUCGUGGACGUCGGCAAGUGUCUGGAGCAGGCGAAGCUUACCGAGCAGGCCCGCGAGCGGGCCGAAAAGUCGCUCGAGCUGGUGCGCAAUCUGAACGACGAGCUGACGGGCACCAACGCCCGCUCCACGCAGUACAUCAGCGAGCUGGUCGCCGAUCUGAAGAGCGCCAAGAAGAAGCUGAUCGACAACGAGCAAACGAUUCGUGACAUGGCGCGCAAAAACUCGGAGUAUGUUUCCAUCAUCACGCACGUGUACGACCGCGUGCGCCCGAUAGUGAACGUGCCCGAUCGCAAGCGCUCCACAUCCACCGUCUCGUCGUCCCAUCGCCACGAAAGCUCGAAGGAAAAGUCAGCGUCCUCGCUGUCGAAGGAAAAGGAGAAGGAAAGCGCCGAUACGAAGGACGCGAAAAAGGCGGACAAACCGGUGGCCGAGGUGGCGAGCAAGGAGAAACCGGCCAGUGCCGCACCGGCCACCGCCGACAAGCCCGAGAAGGAAGCAGCCGCCGACCCGUCGUCGUCCACCGCCGCCAAGGAAGCUGGGAACGAGACGGAGCAGCAGACGGAGGGCGGCAGCAAGGCCGCGACAGCCGCAGCGAACAGUCAGGACCAGGAAUAGUUUUUUUAUCCCCUUUCCUAUUGACUUGACGGAUUUUAUGUUAGUUUGCUUCAUAUUAUUUUCCACUCACAACGCGUAACCCAUUCAACAGAAUCAAUGCUCCCCCCACCCCACAAGCGACAGGCCUUUACCAUAAUGGGGUCAUACAGUGACGAAACAAAAAAUCCCCGCGGGGAUGUGUUGGGUGGAGGGGGGGGAGUGCCUCCUCGUUACAGUUGAGGGAGAAUGCGUAUGUAAAAAAAAGGAAACAAAAGUUUCCUAUAUUUUUUAGUUUAUAUAUUUUUUCCAACUCCGUUUCGCUGCGGACAUUUAUAACUAUUAACAAAAUUAUUAACAAACUAUUAUUAGAACUGAUAGGGCACGUACAGAGAGAAAGAGAAAGAGAGAGAGAGAGAGAGAGAGAGAGAGAGAGAGAGAGAGAGAGAGAGAGAGAGAGAGAGAGAGAGAGACAGAGAGAGAGAGAGAGAGAGAGAGAGAGAGAGAGAGAGAGAGAGAGAGAGAGAGAGAGAGAGAAAGAGGGAGAAGAGGGAAAGGCCACAUUCGCUCAUCGAGGCUUUUUGCAUACGACAAAACGAACCGUGAUAGAAGCGCGCGCGCACACACCCACACCCUCACACAUACACACACACAAUACACAUUUUUGUACGAACGGUUUUUAGUGUAGGUACUUUUUUGGAGAAAUACAAGCGCGCUGUUGUUUUCAGCACCAAUCCCAAUUUAACAAAAAAAAAACAAAA